GGGCCCAUAGCUCAGCUGGUUAGAGCGUCCGACUCAUAAUCGGCAGGUCGAWGGUUCGAGUCCWUCUGGGCCCACCA
RNAcentral lists this transfer RNA (77 nucleotides) under Pseudomonadales bacterium. RNAcentral describes it as "tRNA-Ile". Lineage: Bacteria; Pseudomonadati; Pseudomonadota; Gammaproteobacteria; Pseudomonadales. The record is from RNAcentral.